Molecule: ribosomal RNA, 794 nt
Filed under: uncultured bacterium
Lineage: Bacteria
Description: bacterial SSU rRNA
Rfam family: Bacterial small subunit ribosomal RNA
Source: RNAcentral
AGAGUUUGAUCCUGGCUCAGGACGAACGCUGGCGGCGUUAACACAUGCAAGUGGUGCGACGAACCAGGGCUUGCCCUGGGGAAGCGCGAACGGGUGAGUAACACGUGAGNNACCUGCCCCGAUGACCGGGACAACCCGAGGAAACUCGGGCUAAUACCGGAUGUGGCGCACAGGCGUAAGCUUGUUCGCUAAAGGAAGCUUCGGCCUCCGCAUUGGGAGGGGCUCGCGGCCCAUAGCUUGUUGGUGGGGUACGGCCUNNCAAGGCAACGAUGGGUAGCUGGUCUGAGAGGACGAUCAGCCACACUGGGACUGAGACACGGCCCAGACUCCUACGGGAGGCAGCAGUGGGGAAUCUUGCGCAAUGCGCGAAAGCGUGACGCAGCAACGCCGCGUGGGGGAAGACGGCCUUCGGGUUGUAAACCCCUUUCAGGAGGGACGAAGGCUCGCCGGUGAAUAGCCGUGCGAGUUGACGGUACCUCCACAAGAAGCUCCGGCUAACUACGUGCCAGCAGCCGCGGUAAUACGUAGGGAGCAAGCGUUGUCCGGAAUCAUUGGGCGUAAAGCGCGCGUAGGUGGCCUCAUAAGUCCGCUGUGAAAGUCAAAGGCUCAACCUUUGAAAGCCGGUGGAUACUGUGGGGCUAGAGUACGGAAGAGGCGAGUGGAAUUCCUGGUGUAGCGGUGGAAUGCGCAGAUAUCAGGAGGAACACCAAUAGCGAAGGCAGCUCGCUGGGACGUUACUGACACUGAGGCGCGAAAGCGUGGGGAGCGAACAGGAUUAGAUACCCUAGUAGUCC